Betta splendens (Siamese fighting fish) is the source of this 1585-nucleotide long non-coding RNA. RefSeq lists it as uncharacterized. The record is from RefSeq and is a predicted model, not a curated record. Lineage: Eukaryota; Metazoa; Chordata; Actinopteri; Anabantiformes; Osphronemidae. The transcript has 3 exons.
CGCAUGUGGUGGUACUAAUGCCAUCUGCUGGUCGGUUGGUGUCAUUACAGCUUCACAGACCACAGUUGACUCGUCACUUUAUGAGAUAUUUUGCCACAAAGCUGCAGGACCAAUGUGUUUCUGCUUUGUUAGAUGUAAAAAUACCAACACCAUCUUCGUCUACACUGCUUUUGAGGGGGACAAACGGUUGAAAUACACAAAACAGCAGUGGUUAAGCUUAAUUAGAUCCUUGGAGAGGUACCAAAGGAGCUGACUACGACUCUGAGCUUUGCAUAUGAGGGGAACAACAGGCUACACGCAUUUGGACUUUUUGCAACGUUGAGCUCAGUAGAUGCCUUCUUCUCUGCAGCUGACAUUGAGUGGGUGUGGCCACCAGAGGGCAGCAAAGGUCAGAGCAAACACACCUCGGUUUUCUUACCUUUGUAAGCCCAUCUCUAUGACAAAAAUAAACCAAAUACUUAUAAUACACAAAUUUUCUGAUAUAUUGCAAUACAUGAAUCCAUGUAGAAAUACUUUAAAAAGCUUGAGAAAAAAUUUUGUUCUGUUUGAGUCCUUAAAUUCUAACAGCACAGUGCAGCGCUUACAAACUAUAAUAGUUUCAUUGUACCAUCCACUCAGUUGUUGGUGAUAUUUCUUUUGAAAACUAACAUUUGUUUAAUGUAGUUUCAUGUGGUUCCAAGAAUGCAGAAGACAUUUGUGUCUCCAAACUUGUUUCCUUUGCCCUGGAUUCUGGCAGUCCAAUCGUCAGUGUUCAUUAUCUGCUCUUACAGCUUUGACUUUAGCUCAGCAAUUACAUCCUCAGCUGCACUGAUUAAUCCAACAUGGAGGCAUUUCACAAAAUGGUUUUGAAAAGGCAUUUCCAGACACUUACCACAGAGUAGCUGUGGCACGACUUGUUUAUGCAGAUAGACCACAGCUAGUCAUAUUGCAAUAAGAUGUUUUCCAGGGCCGCUUAAGUGUUCUCUUAACCUCCAGUGUACACUGUGCAGGAAACAAUAGACUGUUUGGAAAGUGAUUAAUUUAAUCUAUUUUCCCCCUGACAUAAAACGGAAGUCUGCCUGAUGUGAUGUUUGGGUAAUGUACGGUCCCCUAUUGUUGAACAUUUUCUGUCUGUAGCCAUUUGUUAAUAUGUUUCCACUGUUGUCUGCUUAACCUUCCAUUCUCUCCUGGCAAUCACAUCAUCAAUCACUGUCCGGUUACUUGACGAGGGAGACAAAGAGAGUGUAUGAGUGAGAAAAACCUUUUGGCCUGUCUCGACAAGCAAGAGGAAUGUCGACUUCAGAGGGCUAACACAGGCAGAAAACAUAGGCCUAGUAAAUAUUCAAUUUAAAGGAUUCCCAGAUAAGACGAGUUGAAAAAUUGAGGCAGCACCCAUUCUUCUAGAUAAGAGAAGACGGAGCCAUCUGGAGGCUGGGAGAUAGCGAACUCCCACGCCAUCCCAGAGACCUCACUCUCAUCUACUGCAGCGGCACAGAAGGAAAAAAUAGAGUGCCAACGCUUUCAUUAUGUUAACUUCAAAAUGAAUUUAUUCAUGUAGUUCCUGCCUUUGGUAAACAGAAGGUUACUGUUGUGUCCACAUCAAGAC